RNAcentral lists this ribosomal RNA (1056 nucleotides) under uncultured Holophaga/Acidobacterium Sva0777. RNAcentral's name for it is "bacterial SSU rRNA". It matches the Rfam family "Bacterial small subunit ribosomal RNA", at positions 452 to 1498 of the family's 1533-position model. Lineage: Bacteria; Pseudomonadati; Acidobacteriota; Terriglobia; Terriglobales; Acidobacteriaceae. The record is from RNAcentral.
AUCUGUAGAAUACAGGGACUGAGUGUACCCAACGAAAAGCCACGGCUAACUUCGUGCCAGCAGCCGCGGUAAUACGAAGGUGGCAAGCGUUACUCGGAAUGACUAGGCGUAAAGGGCAGGUAGGCGGUCUUGUAAGUCUGUUGUGAAAGCUCCUGGCUCAACUGGGAGAGGCCAACAGAUACUGCAAGGCUUGAGUAUAGGAGAGGAUACUGGAAUUCCCGGAGUAGCGGUGAAAUGCGCAGAUAUCGGGAGGAACACCAAUGGCGAAAGCAAGUAUCUGGACUAUUACUGCACUCAGCUGCGAAAGCUAGGGGAGCAAACAGGAUUAGAUACCCUGGUAGUCCUAGCUGUAAACGAUGCACAUUAGACGUGGGAGGUAUCGACCCCUUCCUUGUCGAAGCAAACGCAUUAAAUGUGCCGCCUGGGGAGUACGGCCGCAAGGUUGAAACUCAAAGGAAUUGACGGGGGCCCGCACAAGCGGUGGAGCAUGUGGUUUAAUUCGACGCAACGCGCAGAACCUUACCUAGGCUUGAACUGCUGGUAGUAAAAGAAUGAAAGUUCAGACGAACCGUCAAGUCGGUUGCCAGUAGAGGUGCUGCAUGGCUGUCGUCAGCUCGUGUCGUGAGAUGUUGGGUUAAGUCCCGCAACGAGCGCAACCCUUAUCCCAUGUUGCUAGUUCAUAAUAGGACAGCACUCUUGGGAAACUGCCUCGGAUAACGGGGAGGAAGGUGGGGAUGACGUCAAGUCACCAUGGCCUUUAUGUCUAGGGCUACACACGUGCUACAAUGGCCGGUACAGCCGGCAGCAAAUCAGCAAUGAGGAGCAAAUCUCUAAAAACCGGCCCCAGUUCGGAUAGUGGGCUGCAAUUCGCCCACUUGAAGGUGGAAUCGCUAGUAAUCGGGGAUCAGCUGGCCCCGGUGAAUACGUUCCCGGGCCUUGUACACACCGCCCGUCACACCACGAAAGCUGACUGCAACCGAAGUCGGUGAUUGAACCCGCAAGGGGCAUAGCCGCCGAAGUUGUGAUUAGUGAUUGGGGUGAAGUCGUAACAAGGUA